RNAcentral lists this long non-coding RNA (234 nucleotides) under Elaeis guineensis (African oil palm). RNAcentral's name for it is "long non-coding RNA (EGUI_LNC037160)". Lineage: Eukaryota; Viridiplantae; Streptophyta; Magnoliopsida; Arecales; Arecaceae. The record is from RNAcentral.
CCCAAUCUGACUAUUAUCCUACUCAGAAUUAAAAUUAAUUAUUUAGAUCUAAUCUAAAUAAUUAAAAUUUUGAUUUUAAAGUUACAUGCAUAAUAUACAUAUCAUAAGAAAUGCGACUCUGAUACCAUUUGAAGAAAAAAAUCGAUAGUUCAAAGCAUGCAUUUUCAAAAUUUUUAACGAAAGACUAUAAAUUAAAUAAUUUAAUCUAUUUUGCAUGCCCUAGAUCUGAUCUAG